GACGAACGCUGGCGGCGCGCCUAACACAUGCAAGUCGAGCGAGAACCGGGCCUUCGGGCCCGGGGACAGCGGCGAACGGGUGAGUAACACGUGGGCAACCUGCCCUCGGCACUGGGAUAGCCCGGGGAAACCCGGAUUAAUACCGGAUAGCCUCCGGAGCCUUCGGGCGCCGGAAGAAAGGUGGCUUCGGCAUCCGGCCGAGGAGGGGCCCGCGGCGGAUUAGCUUGUUGGUGGGGUAAUGGCCCACCAAGGCGACGAUCCGUAGCUGGUCUGAGAGGACGAUCAGCCACACUGGGACUGAGACACGGCCCAGACUCCUACGGGGGGCAGCAGUGGGGAAUCUUGCGCAAUGGGCGAAGGCCUGACGCAGCGACGCCGCGUGCGGGAAGAAGGCCUUCGGGUUGUAAACCGCUUUCAGGAGGGACGAAGCCACUCGGGUGAACAGCCCAGAGGGUGACGGUACCUCCAGAAGAAGCCCCGGCUAACUACGUGCCAGCCGCCGCAGUAA
RNAcentral lists this ribosomal RNA (508 nucleotides) under uncultured bacterium. Its description in RNAcentral is "partial 16S ribosomal RNA". It matches the Rfam family "Bacterial small subunit ribosomal RNA", at positions 28 to 523 of the family's 1533-position model. The record is from RNAcentral.